RNAcentral lists this microRNA (22 nucleotides) under Danio rerio (zebrafish). RNAcentral describes it as "Dre-Mir-144-v1_5p* (star (passenger))". RNAcentral also lists the same sequence under 5 other names. The record is from RNAcentral. Lineage: Eukaryota; Metazoa; Chordata; Actinopteri; Cypriniformes; Danionidae.
GGAUAUCAUCGUAUACUGUAAG